Molecule: ribosomal RNA, 505 nt
Filed under: uncultured bacterium
Lineage: Bacteria
Description: partial 16S ribosomal RNA
Rfam family: Bacterial small subunit ribosomal RNA
Source: RNAcentral
GACGAACGCUGGCGGCGUGCCUAAUACAUGCAAGUCGAACGCACAGUUUAUACCGUAGCUUGCUGCACCAUAGACUGUGAGUUGCGAACGGGUGAGUAACGCGUAGUUAACCUUCCUGGUAGCGGGGGAUAACUAUUGGAAACGAUAGCUAAUACCGCAUAAUAUUGAUUAUUGCAUGAUAAUUGGUUGAAAGAUGCUAUUGCAUCACUACCAGAUGGGCCUGCGUUGUAUUAGCUAGUAGGUGAGGUAACGGCUCACCUAGGCGACGAUACAUAGCAGAACGGAGAGGGUGAUCGGCCACCCUGGGACUGAGACACGGCACAGAGUCCUACGGGAGGGAGCAGGAGGGCAUCUUCGGCAAUGGAUGAAAGUCUGACCGAGCAACGCCGAGUGAGUGAAGAAGGUUGUCGGAUCGGAAAGCUCUGUUGUAAGAGAAGAACGGGUGUGAGAGUGGAAAGUUGACAAUGUGGCGGUAUCUGACCAGAAAGGGACGGCUAACUACGUG